Molecule: ribosomal RNA, 256 nt
Filed under: uncultured bacterium
Lineage: Bacteria
Description: partial 16S ribosomal RNA
Rfam family: Bacterial small subunit ribosomal RNA
Source: RNAcentral
GUCCACGCCGUAAACGAUGGAUACUAGCUGUUCGGAGCAAUCUGAGUGGCUAAGCGAAAGUGAUAAGUAUCCCACCUGGGGAGUACGUUCGCAAGAAUGAAACUCAAAGGAAUUGACGGGGGCCCCGCACAAGCGGUGGAGCAUGUGGUUUAAUUCGAUGAUACGCGAGGAACCUUACCAAGGCUUAAAUGUAGAUUGACCGGUUUGGAAACAGACUUUUCGCAAGACAAUUUACAAGGUGCUGCAUGGUUGUCGU